This 831-nucleotide long non-coding RNA is filed under the name Citrus sinensis (sweet orange). Its description in RNAcentral is "long non-coding RNA (CSIN_LNC004981)". Lineage: Eukaryota; Viridiplantae; Streptophyta; Magnoliopsida; Sapindales; Rutaceae. The record is from RNAcentral.
CUCACCUCACCUCUCUUCUUGUUCCACGGCCAUCAACGGCGGCACGAGUCGGCAACGAUCAACUGCGGCUGUAAAUUGACCACAAUCAUCUCUCUCUCUCGGCUUUGCUCAAAUUUGGCCGAUCUAUGCGCUUGCUUAAGCUUGGCCGAUCUAUGCUUGCUCAAUUACUCUUCCUAUAUUCAGUCGGAGUCAACUGUUUGACAAGAGUCGAAGUCCAAGGUUCUUUUUUACAGGAUUUGAGCUACUUCUUUUAUUCUUCUUCCAUGUUCACUGAUACGAAGCUUUGAUGUGGUGUUCUGAGAGCGGGUGGAAUUUGAGAUUCUCCUUUCUUCUCUAUAUGAAGGUGCUUGUCAUGUGUCAAGAAAAAUAAAAUUAUUUACAAAAGAUUAUUUUAAGGAGAUUUAUUAUUAUUCGUGGAUCGGGAAGCUCAAAAAAUUUUCUUAUGUAGACUCAAAUCAUUUCUAUAGGGCGAAGCAUAUGAAUGAUACAUAUUAUCUUUUUUUGGCCUUAUGUAUUGUUAUUUGCAGUGUGAUUUGGUCUAGCUUAAGAGCUUAAGCUUGCAGGCUGGAUUUGUCUGACAUGGAACAAUUUAAUUUGUUCAUCGUGAUGUUUAUAUCCAUUUUGUACUACUAUCAAUUUCAAUCAUGGCUAAUUUUUAUAUGUAUUUCUCGUGGACUCUCAGGUUCAGUGCACAAGAGGAUGAAGACGAUGGACACCCAAAUUUGAUGUGGAGAACAACUAUUGCAAAUGGUCCUUGAUUUACUUCUCCAAUUGACUUGAAUUGGUUUGACGCAAUUUAUUCAUAUUUUUCAAACCAGAAUGCCAACAAGU